AUACGGAAGGUCCGGGCGUUAUCCGGAUUUAUUGGGUUUAAAGGGAGCGCAGGCGGAGAUGCAAGCGUGACGUCAAAUUUCGGGGCUCAACCCCGUCUCGCGUCGCGAACUGCGUCCCUUGGUUGCGGGAAGGGGAGGCGGAACUCGUGGUGUAGCGGUGAAAUGCAUAGAUAUCACGAAGAACUCCGAUCGCGAAGGCAGCCUUCCGGCCCGUCAACGACGCUCAUGCUCGAAGGUGCGGGUAUCAAACAGGAUUAGAUACCCUGGUAGUCCGCACAGUAAACGAUGGACACCCGCGGUUUGGCCUGUAUGGCUGAGCCGCCAAGCGAAAGCGUUAAGUGUCCCACCUGGGGAGUACGCCGGCAACGGUGAAACUCAAAUGAAUUGGCCGGGG
This 394-nucleotide ribosomal RNA is filed under the name uncultured bacterium. RNAcentral's name for it is "partial 16S ribosomal RNA". It matches the Rfam family "Bacterial small subunit ribosomal RNA", at positions 523 to 919 of the family's 1533-position model. The record is from RNAcentral.